Molecule: non-coding RNA, 140 nt
Organism: Chloroflexi bacterium RBG_19FT_COMBO_47_15
Lineage: Bacteria; Bacillati; Chloroflexota
Source: Rfam
AUGGGUUUCUAUGUAGUGCCCAUGACAGCAGGUGCCUGACGGCUUAAAGGAUAUACCUGCCGAGGUGCGUUUCGAUGGAGUUUUGCGGAACUCGGUUUUAGGUCCUUGUGUCAUGGCACAAGGACAUUUUAUUUUUAGGA